UACGUAGGGGCCGAGCGUUGUCCGGAGUUAUUGGGCGUAGAGCGCGCGCAGGCGGCCUCGCGCGCCCGACGUGAAAGCCCCCGGCUUAACCGGGGAGGGUCGUUGGGGACGGCGGGGCUUGAGGGCGGGAGAGGUCGGUGGAAUUCCCGGUGUAGUGGUGAAAUGCGUAGAGAUCGGCAGGAACACCCAGGGGGAAACCAGUCGACUGGGCAGCACCUGACGCUGAGGUGCGAGAGCGUGGGGAGCGAACCGG
RNAcentral lists this ribosomal RNA (253 nucleotides) under uncultured bacterium. RNAcentral describes it as "partial 16S ribosomal RNA". It matches the Rfam family "Bacterial small subunit ribosomal RNA", at positions 524 to 776 of the family's 1533-position model. The record is from RNAcentral.